This 353-nucleotide ribosomal RNA is filed under the name uncultured eukaryote. Its description in RNAcentral is "LSU rRNA". It matches the Rfam family "Bacterial large subunit ribosomal RNA", at positions 2127 to 2479 of the family's 2925-position model. The record is from RNAcentral.
ACUUUAAUCGCGCAGCAUAGGUGGGAGGCGUUGAACAUGUUCUUGCGGGAACAUAGGAGCCAUCAGUGAGAUACCACUCUUUUAAUGUUAGAUUUCUAACCUUGAACCAUUAUCUGGUCAAGGAACAGUUUCAGGCGGGCAGUUUGACUGGGGCGGUCGCCUCCUAAACGGUAACGGAGGCGUACAAAGGUUUCCUCUGAACGAAUAGAAAUCGUAUCUAGAGUAUAAAGGCAUAAGGAAGCUUGACUGUGAGACCUACAAGUCGAGCAGGGACGAAAGUCGGUCUUAGUGAUCUGACGGUACUGAGUGGAAAGGCCGUCACUCAACGGAUAAAAGUUACUCUAGGGAUAACA